UAUUCUGCCCUACGGGGAAGGAUGAGAAGCUUCGACUAAGGUUCGACUCGCGCGUAGCGAGAGAACGUGGCCGCCGGCAACGGCCCGAAGGGCGAGGCGCGGUAGCGCCGAGUCAUCCUUCCCCCACCACCA
RNAcentral lists this small RNA (132 nucleotides) under Klebsiella quasipneumoniae. Its description in RNAcentral is "RtT sRNA". It matches the Rfam family "RtT RNA". Rfam says of the family: This family represents a bacterial cis-regulatory element known as RtT RNA. The exact function of RtT is unknown although it is thought that it may be involved in changing the cellular response in relation to amino acid starvation. The record is from RNAcentral. Lineage: Bacteria; Pseudomonadati; Pseudomonadota; Gammaproteobacteria; Enterobacterales; Enterobacteriaceae.